GGCUUUCAGGAUAGAAAAUGGAACAGAUGCCUCUCUGUCCCAUAUUAUGAUCUGGAUUAUCUGCUGAGCAGCUUUAUUCAGCCAUAUCCAUCACCUGAAGUUAUUGGAGCUCCCAGCAGAUAGUGGCAUAUGGAAUUUCAUCUGUAUGUUCUGCAGAUCUGAAGACCGUGUUUUCCACUCCAGUGACUUAACUCUUGGUACCUUGCCAAGUAUUUCGCUAGUUGGACUGCUGACGUGAUGACGUGAGACUUUCUGAGUAGCACUGAGAUUUAUCUGGGG
This 279-nucleotide long non-coding RNA is filed under the name Numida meleagris (helmeted guineafowl). RNAcentral describes it as "lncRNA (ENSNMEG00000019074.1)". The record is from RNAcentral. Lineage: Eukaryota; Metazoa; Chordata; Aves; Galliformes; Numididae.